CCGGCGACCGGCGGCACGGGUGAGUAACACGUAUGCGAACCUGGCCGUGACAGAUGGAUAACCGGGAGAAAUACCCGCCUAAUACAACAUAAUGCCGGGAGGGGACAUCCCCUGACCGGUCAAAGGGGGCGACCCGGUCAUGGAUGGGCAUGCGGCGCAUUAGGGUAGUUGGUGGGGCAACGGCCCACCAAGCCGACGAUGCGUAGGGGUUCUGAGAGGAAGGUCCCCCACAUUGGAACUGAGACACGGUCCAAACUCCUACGGAAGGCAGCAG
This 274-nucleotide ribosomal RNA is filed under the name uncultured bacterium. Its description in RNAcentral is "partial 16S ribosomal RNA". It matches the Rfam family "Bacterial small subunit ribosomal RNA", at positions 87 to 354 of the family's 1533-position model. The record is from RNAcentral.